Molecule: long non-coding RNA, 397 nt
Filed under: Erythranthe guttata (spotted monkey flower)
Lineage: Eukaryota; Viridiplantae; Streptophyta; Magnoliopsida; Lamiales; Phrymaceae
Description: long non-coding RNA (EGUT_LNC002707)
Source: RNAcentral
AGAGAGAGAGAGAGAGAGAGAGAGAGAGAGAGAGAGAUAGAGAGAGAGACCUUGAGUGGUGUCCUGUUUCUGAGAAGAAGAUGAAGAAGAAGAACCCAUAGAGGAAACCAAGAAAGAAGAAGCUCUGUUUGAAGAUUUUCCAGCAAAAGCUAAACGAACCUGAUUUUCACUGCUUAACCCUAGAUUCGAUUUUGCCGGAUUGUAAUUAGCCAGAGAGCUCAAACUGGUUUUGGCUAUGGCGUAGGAUGCCAUUUCACAAAUGCCGUUAAAUUGACUGAUUCAGCUGGCUUCUGGAAGGUGAAUUAUACUUAAUUUGUGUUCCUGUGUGCUCAGUUAUUUAAUAACAACGGUGCAUCCUCGUUUCUACGCCAAUCGUUAAGCUGGCUAUUUUUGCUGU